Long non-coding RNA from Fukomys damarensis (Damara mole-rat), 3286 nucleotides. RefSeq lists it as uncharacterized. The transcript is spliced from 6 exons. NCBI's taxonomy places the organism in Eukaryota, Metazoa, Chordata, Mammalia, Rodentia, Bathyergidae. The record is from RefSeq and is a predicted model, not a curated record.
CUGUCUCUGCUUCCCUUUCUCCUUCCAGCCACCUGCUCCCCUCCAACUGGCCGGACCUCCCUGACCAAAAUGACCCGGUGGCUCCGCCCCCUGGCCUUAGCGACCCAAGCCCCGCCCCUUCUCUGACCUUAGCGACCCGGCCGGCCCCGCCCCUCGGCGUCGCUGUUUCCUUCCUUGAGGUAAACAGACUGAACCGAGCCCGGCGAGGAGGACGAGGACCCGAAGCCCCUUCGGAGCCGCAGGAGGCGGAACCUGAGGAGCCUCUCGCUCCGUGGGCCCCCGGGUCUUGGUCGCCUCUCCCAUGGCUGCCAUCGGGGGACGCAGACGGAACCUCGGUUCCGCCGCCGAGGACCUUCCCGGAGCGCCUUCCACCCCCGCGCGCUGCCAGAGCAAACUGAUCAAACAAAUAGAUUUGGAUAUUUAUGAAAGCAGACAGAGCUGUUUGCACAUUUCAUUCAGCCUGCUACUCAGAAGACUGCAACCUCACCUUUGAAAAAGAAACCAGAGUGCCCAAGAAUAAAUCGGAUGAGAAAAAGAACUUGCUCUCAGUUGAUGAGUCAAGGCAGAGGUUACCAUCACAGAGAAGUACAAUAAUCCAAGCUUGAACUUGGUUAUGACUGGGCUGAGCUUUCAUCUUCAAAACCACAUCCGUAAACUGAAGAUACGACUUUUACUGAAGUCUAUGCUCGUGUGGGUGACAUUGUGAUGACCUAUUCCACAUCAGUUACCAACACUGUAGAACAAACAGAGCAAGAAGAGGAUGAAGAAGUACUCAUAGAAAGCUCUAAAGGAACCAGUGUUUACUCCUGAUUUAGAGACUCUCCAUCACAAUCCCUUGGAUGGUUCCCAUAUAUAGUUUGGAUAGUUGGGUAGCUCUGAUAAAACCCAGCGCUGCCAUAUAUUUGAAUACUUUCCGAGAGUGCUGUGAAGCAUAUGUUAUCUAUAAUUUCAUGAUCAUCCUGAACAACUACCUAACUAGUCAAUAUCCAGAUGUGAUAGCAGUCCUUGAAUCAAAAGAACAACAAAAACAUAUCCUUCCUUUUUGCUGUUUUCCACCAUGGGAGAUGGGCGAGUAAGUAUGAUUGAUUUUAAUUCUUUUCUGUUUAGUUUUAUUUAAGCAGUUCUUAGGUAUCAUUCAGUUUAUGGCAAGGCAGUGUAUUAAGUACCAUGAGCAAGGCAAAUGAAAUAAGACUGAGCCCCUGCCUGGUGAAGUUCAUAGUUUGAAGAGGAACGAAAUACAUUUUUAUAACCCACAUAUCAUGUUUUUUAUAUUGUUCACCCAAACAUAAAAGCUCUACAAUGCACUGCAGAAGAAAACCUUAGACAUAUGUAACAGAUAUCCUUUUACAAUUGGGGCUCAAGAUCGGCAGAUGUUAUGCAUGUUCACACACUAGUUAGAAGACUUGGGGAGAAAAUAAUCUAGGUAGAAAAGCAGCAGAUGACAUGAAACAGGAGUAACAAAUAGCAAUGUUUAUUCUAGUAACAUAUUUAGUUUUCCCUGUUACAUGUUCAUGCUGAUAGUAAAGAAAAAUUAAGCCUGAGUUAUUUAAACCUUUUAUUUUGAAAUGUAAAUUGAGGAUAAGAUUGCAUUUAUAACACAAAGGAACCAUCAGAUAUGUUUCAGCUAGGAAAUAUUUGAAAACAGCAUUUAAGAAAGAUUAAUUUUGCAGCACUAUAAAAAUACACUGGAGAGUUGAUGACACAAGAUGUGGGGAAAUACAUUAGGAUGUUAUCAUAACUCAUUUGUGAAAUAAACUGAACAAAGGAAUGAAAUUGGAAUAGAAACGAAAGACAGUGACCACUGAUAGAUGGGGAAUGGGGGAAGUUGUAGGCUAAGGAAGAUGAACGAUGUAGAGGUGUAGUAUGAAGUUAGACAUAAAUGUGGGUAGGGCUGCAUUGCUUCCUCCUUGGUAUAGAACCAUUUGGACAUCAUUCUUCAUAUUGCCUGUUCUCAUCCUUUCAAAUGAGAAGAAAUUAUGAAAUUACUUGGCUUUUUAACAAUAAUAAGCUGCUAAUGUGUUCAUUCAACAGAAAUCUACUGAUGCCCUAAUAUGUGCCAGUAUAUAGGCAUAGCGUAACACACAAAACAGACAGGGAACUUACAGUUUGAUUAGGAGGGUUAGAAGUUAAUAAAUGCAUAAAUAGCUACAUAUUUCAAGAAGUGCCAUGAAAGAAAGAGAGCAAGAGAGCAUGAGAGAACAAAGUAAGGAUGAAUUCUAUAGAUUUGGAAUCAGAAGGUGAUACUCUGCUGGCAGUACUGUGCUCAGUUCCAAAUACAACAAGGGCACGUGGGGAUUUGCAGUUCAAAAAGUAGAUUGAAGGGUCAGUAGAUAUAAAAUGACUAAAAGGAGACAUGAAAAAAGGAAUCUUGCUGAAUUGACUAACAGGAUUCUUGGUGUAAAAGCCAACAGGAUUUUUGGCAUAGACAUCCAGAGAGAGGGUGACAGACUUGAUUUGUGCAGGGGCGCCCGUGUCAAGGGGAGGGGGAGUGACUCAGGAUUCUCGGUGUAGAUCGGCUUUAAGCAGAAGAGCGAAGGAGAUGUCCUCAAGAACAGGACUCAUUUGUAAGCGCAAGGACCUGAGUUCAAUCCCAAGUACCAAAAAAAUAAAAAAAAAAAGAAGAAGGCUCGAAAGAACUUGUGUUAAGUGUGGCCGUUAAAAACCCAUCAAAAGAGAAACCAUUAUAGGAUGAUAUAAAAAGAACUGGUGUCCAGAGUUCAUUUUCAAUAAUUAAUUAUGUGUUUUGUCUGGACUAAAUUGGAAGCAGGCAAAGAUAUGUAAACUGGGAGAAAUAAGAAAUUGCAGCAGCCUAGCAUAUAGGAUGGUGGUGGUGAAAACCUGGCUUUGAUCAGAUCUGUAAAAUCUGAAAAUUUAAAAAGCUCUAGCUGCCUCUCCAGACUCGCUCUUAAUUGGCUGGGGGUCAACUAAAACCCCAAAUCUUUUAUAAAUAAUUCUGGUCAAAAUUCUCAUAUUCUGUGCCUGGGCACGUGAUUUGUUCCUAACUACAUGUUACUUGCAUUCUUGUUGAAUCUCUGUGGCUUGGAUUCAUUUUUAACUGAGCCUUUUGAAUUUUGACAGCUAAUUUAAUUAUUUGACACAGCGGUGUACCCAUAAUAUAACAGGGGUUUUCUUGCAUUUGAAAAAGCAUUAAAUUUUUACCAAAAUUAUACAAUGUGGGGGUGUGGUUUUAGUAGUAAUAAAAUUUCAUUCUGCUGUGGAUCAAUACAUUCUUAGGUUAGUCAUCUCCCUCUAAUAGAUAACUAGUAUUUUAUAUUUGGUAAUUAAU